ACAUCGCGUUGAAACACCGUUUCCUGUACAAUCAUCGAAGUUAAGCAAAGUCGGUCCUGGUCAGUACCUAGAUGGGUGACCGCUUGGGAAUACCGGUUCUUGUA
Molecule: non-coding RNA, 104 nt
Organism: Acanthosepion pharaonis
Lineage: Eukaryota; Metazoa; Mollusca; Cephalopoda; Sepiida; Sepiidae
Source: the annotation of a GenBank genome assembly